UCAUCCGGCCGUUCAUCACGAGCAUUCCCUCGGAUCUGCAGAGCGCCCCAAGCUGGGCACCAAAGAAAUUGCAAACUUGGUCCUGGCACUUUCGAUUUCCGAGUCCAUCAUAAUUCUGGUGGUCCCUCAGUCCUUCAAAACCCAUGACCUCGCAUACGGCCUGCGACUGCUCUAAAUCCGGGAUGUCAUUUACGUAAGCAGGUAAGUCCAUCAGGGUAGCACGGUUCCGCUCAUGCUGUGCUCCAGACAGACGUGCGUUAAGAUCCCGGCUAUCGUUAUCCCCGGCUACACGGUUUUUGUGUUUUUUAGUAUAAAUAUGUUAUAAAUUAUCCAGCUACCUUUUGAAAGGCCGUGUGCUGCAGCAUUGUCAAGCCUUGUGCUCCCACUCGGUACUACCCACGCCAGGGGCUCAGAGCUGCGGGAGAUGUGUACAGCGGCGGGGCCGGUUCCUCAACCCCGGGGGGACGAUUUGCUGCAACACGCGAGAGCUCGCCAAGUGUCCUCGGUUGUGGGACUAAGUACGGAAGUCGUACGGAACAGACAGACAGGUGGACUGACAGACAGACAGAAUGACAGAUGGGGAAACGGAUAGUAAGGGAAAUGCGCAAGCGCGGGGUCAGGCCGUGUCGUCGUACUGUGUCGUACUGCGUCGCGGUUAAUUAGUGGUUGGUGCGGGUGGUGAUGCAGUUGCUUGCACACGGCUUGUGCGUGUUUAGCACACAGGUGAUGUGAGACGGGAUGCGUGCUCCAUGUGUUGUGGCCAAAGUAUACGACCUUUAGGGCAGGGAACGACACGGUUGGGCGGGAACGAACCUAGUGAUGGUGACGGUGCAGUGGCGUUACGGCGUUAUGUGUGUAAUGUACGAGAUGAAACCUG
This 877-nucleotide long non-coding RNA is filed under the name Volvox carteri. RNAcentral describes it as "long non-coding RNA (VCAR_LNC001909)". The record is from RNAcentral. Lineage: Eukaryota; Viridiplantae; Chlorophyta; Chlorophyceae; Chlamydomonadales; Volvocaceae.